This 429-nucleotide ribosomal RNA is filed under the name bacterium. RNAcentral describes it as "partial 16S ribosomal RNA". It matches the Rfam family "Bacterial small subunit ribosomal RNA", at positions 355 to 776 of the family's 1533-position model. The record is from RNAcentral.
UAGGGAAUCUUCGGCAAUGGGGGCAACCCUGACCGAGCAACGCCGCGUGAGUGAAGAAGGUUUUCGGAUCGUAAAGCUCUGUUGUAAGAGAAGAACGUGUGUGAGAGUGGAAAGUUCACACAGUGACGGUAACUUACCAGAAAGGGACGGCUAACUACGUGCCAGCAGCCGCGGUAAUACGUAGGUCCCGAGCGUUGUCCGGAUUUAUUGGGCGUAAAGCGAGCGCAGGCGGUUUAAUAAGUCUGAAGUUAAAGGCAGUGGCUUAACCAUUGUUCGCUUUGGAAACUGUUAGACUUGAGUGCAGCAGGGGAGAGUGGAAUUCCAUGUGUAGCGGUGAAAUGCGUAGAUAUAUGGAGGAACACCGGUGGCGAAGGCGGCUCUCUGGUCUGUAACUGACGCUGAGGCUCGAAAGCGUGGGGAGCAAACAGG